GCUCCUUCAAGAGGGUGAUGGCAGCAGGGGCAACAAGCUCUGGCUGCUCAGGGUCUGUCAGAUCUAGGGGCUGUCCUCAGGACCAGGGGGCUUGGCUGGGGUGUGCUCAUCUCCUCCUCUUCCUCCAAGAGGGCAUCCUCCAAGUGGGACUCUGGGUGGGUCCUGAUAUCACUACUCUUUCAUUGGCUCUUUAGUACAGAGACUACACAAGCACAGUUUGAUUGUAGGCUCCAUGCAGAAGAGCCAGUGAAUAUGUGGAGGUCUGGAGUGGAACAAGCUGCUGUGAUCUUGCACACUGUGUUCAAUAUUUCCUGUUUGGCCUUUUGAAAAGGGUUCAGGAGUUCAAACCAGUUUCACCUUUGUCCCACAGCUUCCCUCUGCCAUGCCCACUAUGUUCAACUCUGCCCUCAAUUUCACAAGAACUGAGUCUGAUUUUAACCUUGCACAGUAUAAUAAUUAGAAAUAACCAGUGUAUACUAUAAAACACCUAAGGUUUUUCUCCCAAGACUAUCAGACCAAACAUGAUUUUCUCAUUCUGAUCACACACACACAACUUAUCUCUAUCAUAAUAUCUAACCUCUCGCUCAGAUUACUGCAAUGCAUUGUACAUGGGGCUGGCUUUGAAAACGUCCCGGAAACUGUAGUGGGUACACAACAGGGCUGCCAGAUUAUUGAUUGGGACUGGAUGUUUUGAGGAUAUUAUGCCAGUGCUUUGUCAACUGUAUUGGCUCCCAAUCCAUUGCCAGGCCCAAUUCAAAGUGCUAGUGUUAAUCUUUAAAGCCCUAAAUGGCUUGGGACCAGGUUAUUUGAGAGAGCGCCUUGCCCCAUAUGUCCCAACCCAGACCUUAAGAUCUUCGUUAGAGGCCCUUGUCAGAGUACCCCUGCCAAAUGAGGUGAGGUGGGUGGCUACUAGGGAGUGGGCCUUUUUGGUGGUUGCACACCAUUUAUGGAAUAGCCUCCCCAGUGAAGUUCACCUGGCUUCAUCACUUUGUUCUAUUAGAUGCAAGGUGAAGACCUUUUUGUUCACUCAGGCUCUUUAAAUUUUUGUUUAAAAGAUCUGAUUUUAACUGAUUUUUUAAAAUGUCAUUUAAAUUGUUUUGUAUUGUAUUUUCUUCCCUCCCCUUCUUCGUUGUUUUUUGUGAUUUAAUGUGUUGUGUGCUUUUAUCUUAUGUUUUAACACUGGGUUGUAAACCGCGCAGAGAACAAUUUGUUGUGGGGUGGCUAACAAAUAAGGUUUAUGAUAUAAGUUUAUUAUUUAUUCCAAAGUUUGCAGGAGGAGUACAGCUGAUCUGGCACUGAUCUCCCCCACCCCCAAGUGGAUCCCCAAAUAUCUGUACUCAUGCAGUCUUAUCAUAAUUUAUUGUAGUGCUUUUAAGAGUAAAAUAUAUCCUCCUGACAGUAUGUUUUUUAGACCAAUACAAUAUCUUUCAGAACAAUGUCCCUGCUAUGAAAUUACAUAGGCUUUUUCACAUAGCCUACAGUUGCAAGCCUAUGCAUGCUUACUUGAAAACUAGUUUAACUGAACACAGAGGAAGUUACUUCUGAGUAAACUUGCAAAGGAUUGGGCUGUACAGGUCUCUUAAUGCCAGCGGGCUGGGGUGAGCCAGAGGAAGGGGAGCAGGGUGAAAGUUGUCUGUAGCCAGGAAGAGAUCUCCUAAGCUCAUGGUAGUUUUCACAGAAAAGCAAAAAUGUGAUGGGGCUUUCCCACACCAGCCACUUUUAUAAACACAUUCCUAUUAGACAGCCUGAGCAGACUAGACAGACUGGAGCUUUUCUCUGAAGAGGAAUUCACAAUGCUGUUGUUGCACUGAUAAAAUUUGCUUACUUUUUUUUGGACCCACGCUUCCUGUUUAUGGAGCUGGAGUUUUGAUCCUAAUAGCAUCUCUACCCAAUAAUCCCCAAGGACUACAAUGGGAAUGGAUGCAUCCUUUGAUUUUUCAACACCUGGACUGGGGGAUUUAAUCCUUAGGAGUGUUUCUUCUUGAAUACUGUCAAACUGCUAACAAAGAUCUGCAAGGAAAGAAAAUAGGAUCUUUUUCAGAAUAUCUUCUCAUUGCAUCACAAUGUCCAAUGUCCAGUUUCAGAGGUGUCUAGCUCCCACAGACCUUUACAUGGAUGUUGGCCUCUUUAGACUGUUUCAGAUGUUAUCCAAAAGCCAGUUUGGAAUGGGUCUAGAUAAUCUGUGUCAUCCAAAACUGCCUGGAGCUGAGAAGUGACCACUUGCUCAAUCACCUUACCUGACUAAGGAAGAAGAGAAACAGAAAAACCCGCUUAAAACCAGCAUUUUAAAAACCUGGAAAUACAUCGAGAUAAGCUAGGAUUUGGAGGACAAAGCCCAAUUUGUGUGUGGACUGUGGAGUGCUUCCAGGGAUCUUGAAUGGACUUCGGGGGUAAGUUUGGCUGGUGUGUGAACACAGACGUUCUCUUCCAGAGGAGAUACGGGAUAACAGCCCUGUCUGUAAAUCUCCUGCUGAUAAGAGAAAGGCAGGCAGGCUUGCUUAGGAAGGGAAUCCUUUUGCUCCUUGUUAAAGGUAAAGUGUGCCGUCAAGUCGAUUUCAACUCCUGGCGCCCACAGAGCCCCAUGGUUUUCUUUUUGGUAGAAUACAGGAGGGGUUUAUCAUUGCCUCUUCCCACACAGUGUGAGAUGAUGCCUUGCAGCAUCUUCAUAUAUUACUGCUGCCUGAUAUAGGUGUUUCCCAUAUUUAUUUAGUUAGUUAGUUAUUUAACAUAUUUUUAUACCGCCCAAAACUUACAUCUAUGGGCGGUUUACAACAAAAACACAAAAGUUAAAACAUUAAUCAAAACAGAUAAAUGACAACAAAGAAAUUAAAACAUUGGUUAAAAUAAAUGACAACAAAAAGUUAAAACAUUACAACAAUUUAAAACCUUAAAACAAUAUAUUAAAACAAAGCUAAAACUAUUAAAACGGUAUUUAAUUAAAAGCCUGGGUGAACAAAUAUGUCUAAAGAUUUUUUUAAAGUUUUCAGAGAUGGGGAAGCUCUUAUUUCAUAAGGGAGCACGUUGCGUUCCAAAGCAUCAGGGCAGCAACGGAGAAGGCCUGUCCUCGAGUAGCCACCAGAUGAGCCAGUGGCAACUGCA
This is a long non-coding RNA of Hemicordylus capensis (graceful crag lizard), 3099 nucleotides long. RefSeq lists it as uncharacterized. NCBI's taxonomy places the organism in Eukaryota, Metazoa, Chordata, Lepidosauria, Squamata, Cordylidae. The record is from RefSeq and is a predicted model, not a curated record. The transcript has 3 exons.